This 995-nucleotide ribosomal RNA is filed under the name Lactiplantibacillus pentosus. RNAcentral's name for it is "bacterial SSU rRNA". It matches the Rfam family "Bacterial small subunit ribosomal RNA", at positions 40 to 1000 of the family's 1533-position model. The record is from RNAcentral. Lineage: Bacteria; Bacillati; Bacillota; Bacilli; Lactobacillales; Lactobacillaceae.
UGGCGGGUGCUAUACAUGCAGUCGAACGAACUCUGGUAUUGAUUGGUGCUCGCAUCAUGAUUUACAUUUGAGUGAGUGGCGAACUGGUGAGUAACACGUGGGAAACCUGCCCAGAAGCGGGGGAUAACACCUGGAAACAGAUGCUAAUACCGCAUAACAACUUGGACCGCAUGGUCCGAGUUUGAAAGAUGGCUUCGGCUAUCACUUUUGGAUGGUCCCGCGGCGUAUUAGCUAGAUGGUGGGGUAACGGCUCACCAUGGCAAUGAUACGUAGCCGACCUGAGAGGGUAAUCGGCCACAUUGGGACUGAGACACGGCCCAAACUCCUACGGGAGGCAGCAGUAGGGAAUCUUCCACAAUGGACGAAAGUCUGAUGGAGCAACGCCGCGUGAGUGAAGAAGGGUUUCGGCUCGUAAAACUCUGUUGUUAAAGAAGAACAUAUCUGAGAGUAACUGUUCAGGUAUUGACGGUAUUUAACCAGAAAGCCACGGCUAACUACGUGCCAGCAGCCGCGGUAAUACGUAGGUGGCAAGCGUUGUCCGGAUUUAUUGGGCGUAAAGCGAGCGCAGGCGGUUUUUUAAGUCUGAUGUGAAAGCCUUCGGCUCAACCGAAGAAGUGCAUCGGAAACUGGGAAACUUGAGUGCAGAAGAGGACAGUGGAACUCCAUGUGUAGCGGUGAAAUGCGUAGAUAUAUGGAAGAACACCAGUGGCGAAGGCGGCUGUCUGGUCUGUAACUGACGCUGAGGCUCGAAAGUAUGGGUAGCAAACAGGAUUAGAUACCCUGGUAGUCCAUACCGUAAACGAUGAAUGCUAAGUGUUGGAGGGUUUCCGCCCUUCAGUGCUGCAGCUAACGCAUUAAGCAUUCCGCCUGGGGAGUACGGCCGCAAGGCUGAAACUCAAAGGAAUUGACGGGGGCCCGCACAAGCGGUGGAGCAUGUGGUUUAAUUCGAAGCUACGCGAAGAACCUUACCAGGUCUUGACAUACUAUGCAAAUCU